UACGUAGGGGGCAAGCGUUGUCCGGAAUCAUUGGGCGUAAAGCGCGCGUAGGCGGCCCGGUAAGUCCGCUGUAAAAGUCAAAGGCUCAACCUUUGAAUGCCGGUGGAUACUGUCGGGCUAGAGUCCGGAAGAGGCGAGUGGAAUUCCUGGUGUAGCGGUGGAAUGCGCAGAUAUCAGGAGGAACACCAGUGGCGAAGGCGACUACCUGGCCUGUUCUUGACGCUGAGGCGCGAAAGCUAGGGGAGCAAACGGG
This 253-nucleotide ribosomal RNA is filed under the name uncultured bacterium. RNAcentral describes it as "partial 16S ribosomal RNA". It matches the Rfam family "Bacterial small subunit ribosomal RNA", at positions 524 to 776 of the family's 1533-position model. The record is from RNAcentral.